UUCCAUGGGCCUUGAUCGACUUAAAUAAGAGGUUGAUAAGUGUCACCUAUUCAUUAGUGCAAAUCCUCUCCAUUAAGGAAGUUCCAUAUGGCUAGUCACACUCUCCAUGGCCUCUUCCAUGUGUAACACAUGUUAAUUUCGUCCUCAUUUUCUAUGCAUCUUCUCUUGGACGUCUAGGGCUUAAAUUGGACAUAAAGAAGCUGAAAUGUAACCCUAGAUGAUUUAUGACAUCAUAUUUUAACCAUAUUCUACCAUUGACCCAAAUACAAGGUCCAAAAUCCUAUUCUACUUGGCCUAAAAUACAAGGCCCGAUUAUUCUAUGCUACUAGGUCCAAUAUAUUGCCCAUGAAAUAAUGUCAUACUUUAUACAAUUAAAGAAACUAAAGCUUGGCCUCAAAAUGAUGUUGACUUGUCUCCCUUGAAGUUAGCUGAGACAUCGUCUUCUUGCAUUCUUCUGACCAAUGCUCUAGUUGAUGUUAGGAUGACUUGGAGUCUUCUUAGAUACAUUUUAUUCCUUUCUUAAUCCUUGAUUUUUCCUCCUUAGUGGACCUUCAAAAGAUAAACAAAAUCCCAAUUAGGCCUAUACAUGCAAGUAAAUGCUUAGACGAACUCUAGGUCUUCAUCCUCCUUAUUUUAUGUGUGUUUAUGGUUGGAUAUUCCAUCAAUUUUGGUAUUUGAUAUAUCUUCUUCUAAUGUGUUGACUCUAUUUUCUAACCAAUUAUUUAAACCCUGAAGUCUAUUGUUAGAAAGGGCGAACCUUUUAGCUUGUUCGUGAGUCUCUUUAAAAGCUUCCAAUAACUGUCUAUUAUUUAAAAAAAAAAAAAUAGAAGGAACAAAACUUACACUACUACUGGAUGACUCAUAUCUAGCCAUUAGACAUAAAUUUACUUCUUUGCCUUCCUUUGAUGAUCAACCUAAUGAGGUUUCAUCAUUUAUCCUUCCAUGUUAUAUACACUUUUUCUGGUUUUGAUCUUCUCAAUUUUCCUAUCAAAACCUUUUUUUCCCUAUUUUGUAUAUUUUGAUAUUGAAUUUUCAUAUGUCCUUGUUUUCCACAACCACAAUAGGUAAAAUUAGAAGAAUUAGAACCAUGUUUUCUAUAAUUGUACCUCAUUUGUGAAGAACCAUUAUCUUUGUUUUUUUUUCUUUAAAAGCUUACCAAAUAUUUUAGUUAGCAUACUUAAGUCAUUGUAUCCAUCUGACUUAUCUUCAUUGUAGCCCUUCUUUUGAACAGUUGAUUUGAGGGCAAUUCUCUUUACCUUUUUAUCAUUCUCUCUUGCUCAUUUAGUCGAUUCAUCUCUAACUCAUGUUCUCUUAAUUUUCCAAAAAAUGUUAUAAUAGUCAUUGUUGUCAAAUCUUUAGAUUUUAAAAUUAUUAUUACCUUAGUUUGGCAACUAUAGUCCAAACACUUUAAGAUCUUGAUGGUUAGUUGUUCAUCUUUAUCAAACACUUUUGUUAAUCCAAUCAUAUGAUUCACAAUGAGAUCAUCUAAUAGGUUAAUCAGUGUGAGGCUGUUUGUCAUCUUAAAAUUGUAGACUUAACUGACUCUUUUGAACACAAUGAGACUGUCUAACGAGUUUAACUCUGAGAAAUUGUCUAACUGAUGUAAGACUGCAGGAUGUCUAACAAAUUUAAUCUCAAUAGAUCAUUUAUGUUUAUAUGUGUAAUAAAACUUAUCAUCUUAUAAUGUUUGAUAUCAUCAAAACCUUCAAUGACGUGCUUAUCUGUAUAAGAUCAUUUAGUGGGGUAUUAGACCGUCUAGCAUUGAUUAGACCAUUCAUUGUCUUAACAACUUUGCUUUAGGUCCCUAGAUUUUGAAUAGUUUUAGUGUUUGGAUGGAAGUUGCUUUGGAGAAAGGAAUUUUAGGCAAAGGAAGAUGUCUAUUUUUUGAUAGAACCUUAGGAUAUAUGUUGUAGAUGUGAAGGUGACACGGUCAUAAUUUCUCGAGUUUUAUGCAGGGUUGUGUAUGUUUGAGUUUAAUAUUAAUAUUAACUGAGUUGAGAUUUGUUUAAUUUGAAUGAAUGAAAUUUGUUGUGUGUUAUUAGUUUUGUGUUAUAAUGCUGCAUUUGAGACAAAUUAGUUCAAGUUGUGAUUAUCUUGAAGCAAAAUAUUCAAUGUUAGUUUAUGAGUUUGAUGUAUGUAUAUAUACAUAUAUCUGUGUGUGUACCUUUUACAAUUUUGUAGAGUUUAAUGUUUAUUAGCAAGUGUUCUUACUGAAAACGAAUUAGGAGAGUUUUUGAGGUGGAGAAAAGACGAUUCGAUGACCCUUUUGAUCUUGAGGUGUUACUUGACCGUUUGGUUCAAGUUUGCAAAAAAUCUCAUGAUCGUUUGAUUCUCGGUCAUGCAUUAUUGGUCUGAUGAUUGUUUGAUCUUGAAGAGUGUUGUUUGACCGUUUGGUCUUUUAUAAAUUCUUUGAAGAUUUGAUCUUGUUUGAUCUAAGUAAAAGUGUCAAUCAUCGUUUGAUAUCAAUUAACAACUUAUAAUAAGUAUCAUUGUAAACAGUUAUGUGUAAAAGGAAACUUUUAUUUUAAAAGAAUAAGCCUCAUUAAAACCUUACUUGGGAAAAUCCCUCCUUAGGGAAAAAAAUGAGUUGGGCUUUUGCCUAGUUGUUUAGGAUUUGUGAACCAGGGAAAAUUUUUACUCGGGCUCCAUGAUGGACACCAAAUGUUCUUAGUGAAAAUAGAUUAAGAGAGUUUUGAGGUGGAGAAGAGAUGACUUAUGUGUGGACCAAGCUCUCGUGUUGACCGAUCACAAAGAGAGAAGGGAGGUCCACCUACAAAAGACUCUUUGACGCUAAUAUAUACUUGCAUAAAGUUUCUAAUUAAACAAUGAAAAGUUUCAAACACUUUAUUAUAUCCUAAACUAUAUAACAAACUUAGAAUUUCAUUUCCUGUUGUCUUAUCUAACAAACUUAAUAAAAUUUAGAUUUUGGUAUGUAGCUACUUAUUCAAAUUUUUUUUUUCAAUAUGUGACUAUUUUUGUGAGGUAACCUUGUUACUAGUGCCAUGUAUUUAGUGGCUAUAUAUGUAAAGAGGCAAGAUCCUGGUUGACUCACUAUAAACAUAUUAGGUAUGUAGGCCGACAAUUAUAAUUGUGCAAACAGGAUUCAGGAGAAAGAUUUAGAGGUAAUAUGUCACAUACGAGGCGAAAGGUCUAUAGCGACACCCACGAGUAUGGAUGGAGUUGUGUCAGGACGACAUUCAAAAUUCGAAGUACAUCCAUAGACAAAUGUUGUCUAUGAGGAAACAUCUCCUGACCGAGAUUAUGCCGACCUUAACAUCUUUACUCAACAUGGGAACACUGGCGAAGAAGAAGUCCACCGUCGGCAUCCACCGAUACCAUGAUAAGUACUCGAUCACCCUCUUAUCCACCACGAGUACCCAUACCAUAAAGGUAACUCACUCUUAGCCUAUUUCACAACCAAAUCUGACGCUCUAUCAAACAUAUCUAUGCGACAUGAUCUCCUUGCAUAAAUUUCACUACUCAUUACUACUGAAGACUCCUCAGACUCUGCCGAGGUGUGCCCAUAGAAGGAAGAAGAGGAACUACUAAGGGAAGACAUCACUAACUUGGAGGAAAGCGAAAUUCUCAGCACUUAGUUACUAUUUGGGAUGCAGAGAAAAGGAUUGACCUACUAUUUGGGAGGCGGAGAAAAGGAGUGGUCCCCCACUUUAAAUGCGCUCCUAUUUAUAGGAAAGGAACCACAAGGAACUCAAACAUCAUAAAAUUUUGUGACCGUUAAAUUCUAUCAUAUCCAACAACCACAAAACAAAACACUUGAAUCCUAAGGUAAGUUUAAAUUCAAAAUUCCUCCCAAACAUAGGGAACGUUUUGGAACUUACUGUAAGCUUCUUAAACAAUAUUCACUAUUCUCAUCUACCUGUUACCGAACUCUAACUUAGACAUCAAAGUACGUUUUGUAGAUAUUCCAUCCUCAUCGACCAAAAAUAAAAAAUCUCACAAUAUCAUUAAUUAUGAUAGCAACAACACGACGAGACAGAAAAAGCACCAAAAGACCUUUUUGAAAUUAAGACCUUCUAAUACAAUAAUAAACUUAAAAUUUCAUUUCGUAUUGUUCUAUCUAACAAACUUAAUAAAAUUUAGAUUUUGGUAUGUAAGAAUUAACUGGAGUUUAUAAUGAACUUAAUUAAUUGAACAAUAUAACCAUUUUAGUAUUUUAAACAGUCAUUCCAUACUUAUUCAAUUUUUUUUUAAAUAUGUGACUAUUUUUGUCAAGUAACCUUGUUACUAAUGCCAUGUAUUUAUUGACUUUGUCGAGGACUAAUUUUGGUCAAAAGAACUUAUUGACUAUUUGUAGUUGAAUUUUCCCUCUUAAGUAGAAUUAACAAAAAUGAUAGUUAUUUUUGUCUUCUAACUAAUUGAUUCAUAGUACAAAUUCUAAAAAUGUCACUUUAGGUAUAAAAGAAAGGAUGAGAAAAAAACUCAUCUAAUAUGUGUUUGGAUCUUAAAAUGAGAGUGUACCAGUAUAGAUAAAGAGGGGUCCAGAUAAUACUUGAAACUGGUAACAUAAUUGCUGACGUGUCUCCUUCAAAUCUCCUUUCCUCAAUAUUGAUGCUCAAGUCAGGGCUCUGAUUUAGGUACAUU
Molecule: long non-coding RNA, 4602 nt
Filed under: Phaseolus vulgaris (common bean)
Lineage: Eukaryota; Viridiplantae; Streptophyta; Magnoliopsida; Fabales; Fabaceae
Description: long non-coding RNA (PVUL_LNC004894)
Source: RNAcentral